AUUGAACGCUGGCGGCAUGCCUUACACGUGCAAGUCGAACGGUAACGGGCCUUCGGGUGCCGACGAGUGGCGAACGGGUGAGUAAUACAUCGGAACGUGCCCGAUCGUGGGGGAUAACGAGGCGAAAGCUUUGCUAAUACCGCAUACGAUCUACGGAUGAAAGCAGGGGACCGCAAGGCCUUGCGCGGACGGAGCGGCCGAUGGCAGAUUAGGUAGUUGGUGGGAUAAAAGCUUACCAAGCCGACGAUCUGUAGCUGGUCUGAGAGGAUGAUCAGCCACACUGGGACUGAGACACGGCCCAGACUCCUACGGGAGGCAGCAGUGGGGAAUUUUGGACAAUGGGCGCAAGCCUGAUCCAGCCAUGCCGCGUGCAGGAUGAAGGCCUUCGGGUUGUAAACUGCUUUUGUACGGAACGAAAAGCCUUCUUUUAAUACAGGAGGGUCAUGACGGUACCGUAAGAAUAAGCACCGGCUAACUACGCG
RNAcentral lists this ribosomal RNA (482 nucleotides) under uncultured bacterium. RNAcentral's name for it is "partial 16S ribosomal RNA". It matches the Rfam family "Bacterial small subunit ribosomal RNA", at positions 30 to 507 of the family's 1533-position model. The record is from RNAcentral.